This 335-nucleotide ribosomal RNA is filed under the name uncultured Scutellospora. RNAcentral describes it as "eukaryotic LSU rRNA". Lineage: Eukaryota; Fungi; Glomeromycota; Glomeromycetes; Diversisporales; Gigasporaceae. The record is from RNAcentral.
GUGAAAUUGUUGAAAGGGAAACGGUUGAAGUCAGUCAUGCCGGUGGGAAUCAACUUGGGGGAAACUCUGAGUGCAUUUCUUCACUUGGCAGGUUAGCGUCGAUUUUGGAUAUCAUAAAAUGACUGGGGGAAGGUAGCUCCUUCGGGAGUGUUAAGCCCUUGGUAGAUGUGAUGUCCGGGAUCGAGGAUUGCAACGGAUACCUUUUAGGUUAACCGCCUGAUUUCUAAUAUGAAGUUGGAUUAUGGACAGCAUGCUGACCGUGAUCUAAUUUGCGGUUAAAAGGUUAGAGCGAGUGUAAAUUCGUUAAGGACGCUGACGUAAUGGCUUUAAACGAC